AGGGAGUGAUGCCGGCAUUAAAGACACUGGAUAUAUGGGAAUGCAUGCAGUUGAAGCAAAUUCCUCGGGGCAUUGAACAUCUCACAAAUCUCAAACAAUUGACUCUGUUAGGUGUUCCGAAUGAGCUGAUUGAGUGCAUACGAGGAGAAGGAAGCAUGGAUAACUCAAAGGUUAAGCAGAUUCCCAACAUUGGUUAUUGCUACAGAACUAGGUUUGGGUGGUCUCAUGGUAGAACGCGAUGAUCUCCGCUACAGCAAGGUAACUAGUAAGAGCUCACCAAGGUCGCGAAUUUUGGAUUGGGUUAGUUCAUCAUGAUCGAAUAAAAUUGUUACAAAAGUCCAUUUAGUGAUAUCAGUUGAAGACUUCAUAUAACAUCAGCACGUAUAUGUAUGGGUUGUACGUGUUGCUAUGUUCUCUCUCUGUGCUCUAUAUAUGCAUGUAUUGGUACAAUGAUCUAUUCCCCUAUGGUAUUCCAUUUAUGUAGAUUGCAAUUAAUAUGCCUAUCGUAUGCACAUACUUAUGCACUUUA
This is a long non-coding RNA of Rosa chinensis, 529 nucleotides long. RefSeq lists it as uncharacterized. The record is from RefSeq and is a predicted model, not a curated record. Lineage: Eukaryota; Viridiplantae; Streptophyta; Magnoliopsida; Rosales; Rosaceae. The transcript has 2 exons.